Molecule: ribosomal RNA, 468 nt
Filed under: uncultured bacterium
Lineage: Bacteria
Description: partial 16S ribosomal RNA
Rfam family: Bacterial small subunit ribosomal RNA
Source: RNAcentral
GACGAACGCUGGCGGCGUGCUUAACACAUGCAAGUCGAACGGAAAGGCCCUGCUUUUGUGGGGUGCUCGAGUGGCGGACGGGUGAGUAACACGUGAGUAACCUGCCCUUGACUUUGGGAUAACUUCAGGAAACUGGGGCUAAUACCGGCUAGGAGCUCCUGCUGCAUGGUGGGGGUUGGAAAGUUUCGGCGGUUGGGGAUGGACUCGCGGCUUAUCAGCUUGUUGGUGGGGUAGUGGCUUACCAAGGCUUUGACGGGUAGCCGGCCUGAGAGGGUGACCGGCCACAUUGGGACUGAGAUACGGCCCAGACUCCUACGGGAGGCAGCAGUGGGGAAUAUUGCACAAUGGGCGGAAGCCUGAUGCAGCAACGCCGCGUGCGGGAUGACGGCCUUCGGGUUGUAAACCGCUUUCGCCUGUGACGAAGCGUGAGUGACGGUAAUGGGUAAAGAAGCACCGGCUAACUACGUG